RNAcentral lists this long non-coding RNA (1136 nucleotides) under Rattus norvegicus (Norway rat). Its description in RNAcentral is "long non-coding RNA NONRATT010097". Lineage: Eukaryota; Metazoa; Chordata; Mammalia; Rodentia; Muridae. The record is from RNAcentral.
UGAAAUAUUCCUUUUAUGAGGUAAAAAUCUGGUUUUGUUUCAAAAUUAACUUCUUUCUCUGCUCUCUUUGGUUUUUCUAGAAAGUGACUGAGAUAUACCAAUUCAAAUUCAAAUACACAAAAAAGGGAACCAGUAUGGACUUUGACAGCAGCAGCACGAGCUUUGAAAGUGGGGCACACAGUAAAGAUGUUAAGAAAGCCUGCUCCCUACUCAUCCGCCAGUUGUAUGUCCUGAUGCAGAACCUUGGACCCCUUCCUAAUGAUGUCAUACUCACUAUGAAACUCCACUAUUAUAACUCAGGUUCAAAGAAUGAAUUUUGUGCACAUUGAGCCAAGUUUUGAAAGCACCAGGAAGAAGAGGAAGGUCAGCGAACCAGUGACAAUCUUCAUUCCAAACAGAAAAUGAAACAGGUGCCUUUGCUACGCCUGUUUGCAAAAACAUGAAAUGUCGUAACAGGAGUCACCAAAACUUUUUCCUAAAGCUUUUGCUCAAUUUUUGACUCAGUUUGUGAAGGGGCUAAGCUAUUGAGCAGGUCCUGGGUUCGCUUCUCCAGAAGGAAACAAGAUCACCAGAGCUGCCUUGGCCUGGCAUUAUCUCACGGCCGAGUUAGAGAUGAGACAUGCUUUGUGCUUGCACGAAAACCCAGCAGUUAUUUUGGGAAGAAAUAGCUGCUGUUCUUAAAGAAAAGGCUUUUCUUUACAUAAUUCAGUUCUCCAGGUAUCUCGACUGCUGUGAACUACUCUGACUUGUUAUAACCUGUGUGUGGGAAUCCUUCUGUAGCUUUAGUAAAGCUCACACACACAGAGCCGCAUAGGACGUCUGAAGGUGCUUAGCCCAGUGUGAGUUAUAUGUUGACUUCAGUCUCAAGGUUGAUGAGGAGCGUGCAGGUCCUGAUGCCCUCCCUGUAAACCUCCUCAGCUCUGCCUCAGGCCCUUUUGUUGGCCAAUCCCAAAAGCUGACAUGCAGUUCAGGGGCCUGGUUCCCUUGUAAGACCUAUGUUGAGUGUUUUCCCCAAAAUACCUGCCUUUAUCAGUCUGUAACUUGCAGGUGAUGCUAUUUGUCCUCUCCAUAUUCUGGAAGAAUUUUGAUAGGCUUAAUGAUUAAUGUAAAAUGAAUAAUAAAUGACUUAAAGAAUU